Molecule: long non-coding RNA, 300 nt
Organism: Neopelma chrysocephalum (saffron-crested tyrant-manakin)
Lineage: Eukaryota; Metazoa; Chordata; Aves; Passeriformes; Pipridae
Exons: 5
Source: RefSeq, a predicted model, not a curated record
GCCCUUGUGCAGCCUCACCCAGUGCUGCCCAGGCCCAAAGGAAGAUGAAGGUCGCUGUGCUCAGCGUGGCCCUGCUCUUCACCAUCCUGCUGAGCCCCCUGGCAGAUGCCAAGGCACUCUUGGCAGGAACCCAAAAUGAUCUGCGGGAGUUUGAUUUAGUGGAUGUUGGGAUCCUGAAGACGGCUCAGCCCCCUGUGGUUGAGAAGGUGGUGGGUCUUGUUCGUGAGAAACGUGUGGCUGCAUCCGUGGAUGUCUGAGGACUAGAGGUGACACCCAUGCCCUGUCCCCCUCCAGCGGCAU